Esox lucius (northern pike) is the source of this 1253-nucleotide long non-coding RNA. NCBI's taxonomy places the organism in Eukaryota, Metazoa, Chordata, Actinopteri, Esociformes, Esocidae. The record is from Ensembl.
GUUUGCUAAAUCGUGCCCACGAAGCCUACCAUUUGUAGAGCACAUGUUGCAAACAACUGCUUUGAGAAUGUGAUGCAAAAACAAAUGGGGUAUACAAAGUUUCUUGUGCAGAAGGCCAACGCAGUUUAAAAAAUGUAGAUGCCGCAGUUAGCAGUUUACGAGGAUCCUCAUUUACAAGUAGCUAGCUAGCUAGUCACGAUUGUCUAGCUAAUAUAGUCUACUAUGACAGUCGUGUCAUAAUAAUAAAUGAUGGCUUGAAAUUCAUGGAAUGUUUAGAGUCAAGUAUCCUAAUAAACCGAUGAUUGCCUUUGAUGACAUUAGAUGGCACUAUGCCUAUCGUAAUAACGAUGUUGAAGCCAAGUUCUUUAUCAAUACGGGACAUUUCACCUUGGAAGAUCCUUCGAUGGUUUGUAUCAAGUUUGAGUUCCAGCGUUCUGUGCUUUAAGCUCUCUCCUUCUGCCUCAGUUCGCGUCAUCCAGAUCAGCUGCACCUUAUAAGGGCAAUAGUUACUGACCACAGGUGUAACAGACGGAUCACCCUCACUCCAGCUGCGGGCGGGGCUUCUACUGGGUCUUAAGAAAUGCAUCCUUGUGGUACGGUUACAUUUGGAAAAAACAUUGAGAAGCACACAGCUAUCUAUACAAGGUCCUACAGUGCAUGUCAGAGGAAACACCAAAUCAGGAAGUCCAAGGAAAUCUCUGUAAACUUCUGAGAACUCUGUGAAGGCACAGAGCUGCAGAACGUUAUAAAAAAAAGUUUCCAUAGGAUUUAAAGUUCCCAGGAGCAUGGUGGGCUCCAUCGUUGUAAAUUGGAAGAGGUUUGAAACCACCAAGACUCUUCCUAGAGCUGACAGCCCAUCCAAACUAAGUAACCGGCCAAGAAGAGCCUUAGUCAGUAAUAUGACCAAGAACCCAGUGACCACUUCAACAGUGCUUCUUAGUUUCUCUACAUAGAUGGGAGAAUCUGCCAGAAGGACAUCCAUCUCUUUAGAAUACUUAAUGAUAGUCAGUAGUUAGGCCAUCAUAAGGCCAAUGAGUAGCCUUAUUUCAUAAGCACUGUUUCUAUCUAGCAACAUGUGUUCUUAUUGAGCUACAAGGAAAUUUGUGUAUCUUUGGUAUUUUUUUUGUUAUUGAGCUACAAUGUUAUUAGGGAUCUUUGUUUUCAAGUAAAUUCGUAAAUAUUCUUGCAGAAAAUGUUACACACUGUUGUAAUUAGCUGUCGUUUUCUUGGCAGUUCGUUAUAAUAUUUUGUUA